RNAcentral lists this ribosomal RNA (500 nucleotides) under uncultured bacterium. Its description in RNAcentral is "bacterial SSU rRNA". It matches the Rfam family "Bacterial small subunit ribosomal RNA", at positions 21 to 507 of the family's 1533-position model. The record is from RNAcentral.
GGCUCAGGAUGAACGCUAAGCUACAGGCUUAACACAUGCAAGUCGAGGGGAAACGAUAUUGGAAGCUUGCUUCCGAUAGGCGUCGACCGGCGCACGGGUGAGUAACGCGUAUCCAACCUGCCCAUCACUUGGGGAUAACCUUGCGAAAGUAAGACUAAUACCCAAUGACGUCUCUAGAAGACAUCUGAAAGAGAUUAAAGAUUUAUCGGUGAUGGAUGGGGAUGCGUCUGAUUAGCUUGUUGGCGGGGUAACGGCCCACCAAGCCUUCGAUGGAUAGGGGUUCUGAGAGGAAGGUCCCCCACAUUGGAACUGAGACACGGUCCAAACUCCUACGGGAGGCAGCAGUGAGGAAUAUUGGUCAAUGGACGAGAGUCUGAACCAGCCAAGUAGCGUGAAGGAUGACUGCCCUAUGGGUUGUAAACUUCUUUUAUACGGGAAUAAAGUGAGGCCACGUGUGCCUUUUGUAUGUACCGUAUGAAUAAGGAUCGGCUAACUCCGUG